This 253-nucleotide ribosomal RNA is filed under the name uncultured bacterium. RNAcentral describes it as "partial 16S ribosomal RNA". It matches the Rfam family "Bacterial small subunit ribosomal RNA", at positions 524 to 775 of the family's 1533-position model. The record is from RNAcentral.
UACGUAGGGUGCGAGCGUUAAUCGGAAUUACUGGGCGUAAAGGGUGCGCAGGCGGUUAUAUAAGACAGAUGUGAAAUCCCCGGGCUCAACCUGGGAACUGCGUUUGUGACUGUAUGACUAGAGUACGGUAGAGAGGGGUGGAAUUCCUGGUGUAGCAGUGAAAUGCGUAGAUAUCAGGAGGAACAUCGAUGGCGAAGGCAGCCCCUUGGACCUGUACUGACGCUCAUGCACGAAAGCGUGGGGGAGCAAACAG